Molecule: ribosomal RNA, 543 nt
Filed under: Escherichia coli
Lineage: Bacteria; Pseudomonadati; Pseudomonadota; Gammaproteobacteria; Enterobacterales; Enterobacteriaceae
Description: partial 23S ribosomal RNA
Rfam family: Bacterial large subunit ribosomal RNA
Source: RNAcentral
UGGUGGGUAGUUUGACUGGGGCGGUCUCCUCCUAAAGAGUAACGGAGGAGCACGAAGGUUGGCUAAUCCUGGUCGGACAUCAGGAGGUUAGUGCAAUGGCAUAAGCCAGCUUGACUGCGAGCGUGACGGCGCGAGCAGGUGCGAAAGCAGGUCAUAGUGAUCCGGUGGUUCUGAAUGGAAGGGCCAUCGCUCAACGGAUAAAAGGUACUCCGGGGAUAACAGGCUGAUACCGCCCAAGAGUUCAUAUCGACGGCGGUGUUUGGCACCUCGAUGUCGGCUCAUCACAUCCUGGGGCUGAAGUAGGUCCCAAGGGUAUGGCUGUUCGCCAUUUAAAGUGGUACGCGAGCUGGGUUUAGAACGUCGUGAGACAGUUCGGUCCCUAUCUGCCGUGGGCGCUGGAGAACUGAGGGGGGCUGCUCCUAGUACGAGAGGACCGGAGUGGACGCAUCACUGGUGUUCGGGUUGUCAUGCCAAUGGCAUUGCCCGGUAGCUAAAUGCGGAAGAGAUAAGUGCUGAAAGCAUCUAAGCACGAAACUUGCCCCG